This 1407-nucleotide long non-coding RNA is filed under the name Brassica rapa (field mustard). RNAcentral's name for it is "long non-coding RNA (BRAP_LNC006727)". The record is from RNAcentral. Lineage: Eukaryota; Viridiplantae; Streptophyta; Magnoliopsida; Brassicales; Brassicaceae.
UGAAAUCAUCAUAUUGGUGAAUAUGAAAAAAAAUGUAAAACUACAUCUAAUAUAAUAUUUAAAAUAAAAACUUUUAAACACACACAAAAAGUUUAUAAGAACAUAAUCAAAUCAAAAUUAACUAAAGUAAAUAGAAAAUUAAAAAAAAUCAUUAUGCUUCUUAAAAAUAAACUAUGUAAAUUAAAUCUAAUAUAAAACUGAAAAAAAAAUCUUUAAAAAUCACAAAAAAAUUAUAAGAACACAAUCAAACUAAAGUUAACUAAAUUAAAUAGAAACCUAAAAACCCAACAUUGUUAAUAAAGUUAAUAGUGACUUUAGUGUUAGGAUUUUAGAAUUUUUUAUAUUGCUAGUAUGUUUUAAUUCAAAUAAUAACAAAAAGAUAUUGGCUUCUCGGUUCGGUUUAGCUCGAUUUGGUUCAGAUCGGUUUCGGUUUGGAUGUUUCGGGUUGGAAAAAUCUUAAAUCAAACUAUUUGAUGAAAGACUUUAGUUUGGUUUGGAUCAAUUUCAGUUCGGUUGGUUUAAUUUUAUAGGUUCAGUUUGUUUUUUUUACCAGCCGACAGAUUUUGAUUUUUUGGAGUUUUCUUUUUAUUUGUUUCCUACAUACUAUAUACAAAGUAAAAUAUAGUAUUUGAUUUUGCGAUUGUAUUUUUAUUGGUUAACCUAUAUUUUUCAAAUACUAAAUGAUUUUUAAUGUAAAGUAUAAAAUAAAAUCCCCCUAUACAUUAAAAGAGAAGUCACUUUAGUGAUUUCUGCUGAGGUGGCACUCAUAUAGAGCUUCUCAGGAAAAACGUUAUAAUUCUAUUGGCUGUUUUUUUUUGAAUUUUUUUUUAUUUAUUUUAAUCAAUCGCUUAUGUAGACAAGCCCAAAACUAUUGUCGAUUUCGUUAAGCCCAUAUAUAGCUAGGGGAUAAUAAUUAUCGAUUUAGUUUAGCCUUGAGUACCCGUUCGGGUUCGGAUCCGGUAUUUCAGAUUUUCGGGUAUUUCGGUAUAGAGGUGUAGAACCCGUUCGGGUAUUUCUGUACUUCGGGACGGGUUCGGGUAUUUUUAGUUCGGAUUCGUUUAUUUCGGAUCUGGUUCAGAUAUUUAGAUUUUCUUAAAAAAAAUACAAUUUUUAUUUCUCAAGUUUCUUAUAUUUAAAAAUAUAACUUUCAGUUAACUAAUUUUUUAUUUUUAAUAGAUUGACUAGUUAAUAGAUUUGGACAUAACAUUUUAAAACUAAAAAGGCAUUAAUUUAGUUAUUUUGUUUAAAUUUCGGAUGUAACUUUUUGUUAAUUUUUUAAAUAAAAAACUUGACAUGCAUUUUAAUUGAGUAGCAAAUCAUUUUUUUUGUAAUUGUAUGUAUAUCAUAUGAACUUAAAGUAUGUGUAGUAUCAAUAUAAAUAUUUUAUAUAAAAUGAGAGAUGUAAAC